UGGACACGGGUGCGCGCCCGAGCGCGCGCGCGUGUAUAUGUAUCACUACUAUGUUACGGCGAAACAAAAUAUUCGCGCACCGACGGUUCCGAUUACGUCAGCUUCGUACACACCCGUCUCUUCUCCCUAAUUAUCUCUAAGACGGUUAAUUAUCAUCAACGGUGAAAACGGUUUGACCUGAAUCCGUCGACACGCGCGCGACGAACGCACGAACGACUGUGAUACCGAGCGUGAUCUAAAAAUGUUGAAAACUCCGAGUAAUAUCGCGAAACGUGACGUAAAUAAGACGUGUAUCGUGGAAUUUUACGCGUGUAUCGUGAUAAAGAUCCAAUUCGAUCGGAUCCGAGCGAGAUUAAUCGCGUUGACGCGUUUCAAUAACUAAACACAAUACGAGAACCGUACGUUGACUAUCCGGCGAGUCAGCGCGCGCGAUGCACGAGUCUUCUCAAAAGACUACACAUCUUUAUCCGAACAUCUUUAUCGGGAACGAGAGGAUGAUCGAGCACUUCUAAAUACGGUAAUGUCAGUAGCAAGUCGUGAAUAAGACUCGUGCUCCGGACACCUGGUAUGAGCGACCGGUGUAAUCGAUCGCGUUUUGUAAAUUUAUCGAGAGAUAUCUAAAAUUUCAGAGACUUUAUUUUAAAACAAAGAUAUUCGAAUAAUAAGUAAACGCCCUAAACUGCUAA
Pogonomyrmex barbatus (red harvester ant) is the source of this 686-nucleotide long non-coding RNA. The record is from RefSeq and is a predicted model, not a curated record. Lineage: Eukaryota; Metazoa; Arthropoda; Insecta; Hymenoptera; Formicidae.